Long non-coding RNA from Pongo pygmaeus (Bornean orangutan), 13539 nucleotides. RefSeq lists it as uncharacterized. NCBI's taxonomy places the organism in Eukaryota, Metazoa, Chordata, Mammalia, Primates, Hominidae. The record is from RefSeq and is a predicted model, not a curated record. The transcript has 3 exons.
CGUCAUUGGAAGCCAAGCCUGCAUUUCCCACAGACAUUGCGGUAUUGAAGCGGGAAAUUCUGUUCCAAGCGGGAGCCGAGGAUGGAUCAGGAUUGGUGUCUAUCCGCCUGACAGACGUGGAAUCUGAAAGGAUUCCCUUCAUCUGAGGAAGCCAGUUCUCAUCCAAAGGAUCCACCUCACACAAGUCCAGGAACUCUAGGGAGCCACGUCGAACAUGGACCUCAGAGAUACACAGCCGGGGGACAACGGAACUGAGGCAUGUAUUCUCCACUCCAGUCAGUAGUAGAAGGCUUUUCUGCAGUGGGGAAUGGAACCCAGGCCAAGUGGGCUCUAGCUGCAGAGAAGGGGAUACACAACCUUAGGUAAGAGGGUGCACAUCCCAGCCAUUGGAUGUGGGGCUGGAGGAAGACAUUUGGCUGGGCUCCUACCGUGUAUACUAUUAUACUGUUAGGGUUAGUAAGAGACAGGUGGUGAUGAUGUUGUCAGUUAAGAAGAGCCAUCAUUUGCUUAGUAAAGUGUGGAAUUGUCCUGGGAGUGUAACUUGCUAAGUUAAUUUCACACCUAACUCCCACAGCUUGUCCACACCUAAUUUCAGGAUAUAUGUCAAAAGGUAAGAAUAAGUGUGAUAUACUGGUAUGUAAGUUACAUCAGUGGUCCCCAGCCUUUUUUGGCACCAGAAAUGGGUUUCCUGGAAGACAAUUUUUCCACAGAUGGCAGGGAGGAUAGUUUCAGGAUGAAAUUAUUCCACCUCAGAUCAUCAGGCAUUAGAUUCUCAUAACUGCAUGCAACCUAGAUCGCUCACAUAUGCAGUUCACAUUGGGGUUCGUACUCCUAUGAGAAUCGAAUGCUGCAGCUGAUCUGAUAGGAGGCGGAGCUCAGGUCAUAAUGCUUACUCAGCCACCACUCACCUCCUGAUGUGCAGCCUGGUUCCUCAGAGGCCACGGACAAUACCUGUCCAUGGCCCAGGGGUGGGGACCCCUGAGUUAUAUUAUAUAUACUAUUAAUAUCUGGCUGUACCAAACAGUAUUGUGAAAACAUUUAUAGUCCUGUUUGAGGAUCUUUUCUGAAGCUUUCCAUUUACAAAUAGAAAAGAAUAUUAAGGCCAGGCACGGUGGUUCAUACCUGUAAUCACAGCACAUUGAGAAGCUGAGGCAGGGGGUUCCUUUGAGCCCAGGAGUUUGAGACCACCGUGGGAAACAUGGCAAAACCCUCUGUGUACAAGAAAAUACUAAAAUACACCAGGUGUGGUGUCACAUGCCUGUGGUCUCAGGUACUUGGGAGGCUGAGGUGGGAGGAUCGCUUGAGCUCAGGAAGUUGAGGCUGCAGUGAGUUGUGAUUGCACUAGCCUGGGUAAUAGAGUGUCACCCUGUCUCAAAAAAAAAAAAAAAAAGAAUAUUGAAACAGAUACUGUGGUUUCUAUCUUUUUGGUCCUCUCAUAGCAAAAAUCAACAAAAGAAACUAAUGUAUAACCUAGCAAAAUACAGCAAGCACUAGGGAUUUUCUAUUUCAGUGCCUUAGGCAAUCUGACAGAUAACGUAGUUCAAAAAAAAUGUUUGCUGUACUGUGAAAUGUACAUUUAGAUAUGCAGACAGCCUCUUGACACAGACAUUGCUAUAGUGGUUUCUAGAAUAAUUUAAGACUUUUUGUUCUUGAUUAACAGUGAGAUGCCAUCUGCCUCAGUGUGUGCCCUAAGAAAUUAAAGAGAUGCCAAGAAGGAAAAGUAUUAAUGAGGAGUAUAAAAUUCUACUUUUAAAAAACAUCUUGGCUGGAUGUGGUGGCUCAUGCCUGUAAUCCCAGCACUUUGGGAGGCUGAGGCAGGUGGAUCGCCUGAAGUCAGGAGUUCGAGACCAUCCUGGCCAACAUGAUGAAAAUCCCGUCUCUACUAAAAAUACAAAAAAUUAGCUGGGCAUGGUGGUGCAUGUCUGUAAUCCCAGCUACUCGGGAGGUUGAGGCAGGAUAAUCGCUUGAACCCGGGAGAAUGAGGUUGCAGUGAGCUGAGAUCGUGCCAUUGCACUCCAGCCUGGGCAAUAAGAGUGAAACUCCAUCUCAAAAUAAUAAUAAUUAAUAAUAAUAAUAAUAAUAAUAAUAACCACGGAUUUUUGCAAGCCUACAGAGAAAAGGGAAUGCCUAUACACUCUUGGUAGGAAUGCAAAUUAGUUCAGCCACUGUGGAAAGCGGUUUGAAGAUUUCUCAAAAAACAGAACUAUGAUUAGACCCAGCAAUACCAUUACUGGGUGUAUACCCAAAAGAAAUAAAUUAUAAUUAUUCUACCCAAAGACACAUACACUAAUAUGUUCACAAUAGCAAAGACAUGGAAUCAACCUAGGUGCACAUCAAUGAUGAAUAGGACAAAGAAAAUGUGGCAUAUGUAUACCAUGGAAUACUAUGCAGCCAUAAAAAAGAAUGAAAUAAUGUUCUUUGUAGCAACAUGGAUGCAUCUGGAGGCCAUCAUCCCAAGCAACUUAACACAGAAACAGAAAACCAACUAUCACAGGUUCUCACUUAUAAGUGGGAAUUAAAUCUUGGGUACACACAGAUGUAAACAUGGGAACAAUAGACACUAGGGACUUCAAAGUAGGGAGGAGGGAACGGGGCAAGACCUGAGCAGCUUACUAUUAGGUACUAUGUUCGCUAUCCGGUUGAUGGGAUCAAUAGAAGCCCAAACUUAAGCACCAUGCUAUAUAUCCUUAUAACAAAUCUGCACAUGUACCCCUGAAUCUGAAAUAAUGAACAAAAUAAAAAUGUUUUAUUAGUCAACAACCUGUCAAUAUGACAUAAAAAUAAUUAUCAGGUUGGGCACAGUGGCUCAUAUCUGUAAACCCAGUGCUUUGAGAAGCCGAGGCAGGAGUAUCACUUGAGGCCAGGAGUUCAAGGCCGGCGUAGUCAACAUAGCAAGACCCAAUUUUUACUAGAAAGAAAAAAAAGUUAAGAAAAUACUCAAAAUCAAAAGCAAUCACCUUUCUUACUCCUUCUUCUGUCUUCAUUCCUACACCAGUCUUAUUUUUCUAAAUGACAAUAAUUAUCAAUAUUUAUUAAGAUUGUGAAAUUCUAGUACUUUUCAAUAAUAAAUAUCAACUGAUUGCAUUGUUUUUAAAAUCAAUAUUUCAGAAACAAAUCAAUAUUUCACAUGGCUAUAAAAGCACAAAACAUUGAUUAAAGUUUAAUAAAAACAUGAAAAUAAAUUAUUUCAAAUAAAUAUAAAGUUAAUAUAAUUUAAUUGAAGGAAAAACUACUUGAAAAUAAUUAAGGUUGUUCAGAUUCAAAUCAACAAAUUCCAUGAUCAACAAUUUAAAAUAUUAAGGUCUGGUAAGUGAUAGAAUUAAUACCUAAAUAUGCCUAAAUGACAACAUUGCUAACUGAUGUUUUUGUUUGUUUAUUUAUUUAUUUUUAAGAUGGAAUCUUGCUCUAUCAUCCAGGCUGGAUUGCAGUGGCACAAUCUCAGCUCACUCCAAACUCUGCCUCCCACGUUCAAGCGAUUCUCCUGUCUCAGUGUCCUGAGUAGCUGGGAUUACAGGCGAGCGCCGCCACGCCUGGCUAAUUUUGUAUUUUCAGUAGUGACGGGGUUUCGCAAUGUUGACCAGGCUGUUCUCAAACUCCUGACCUCAGGUAAUCUGCCCACCUCAGCCUCCCAAAGUGCUGGGAUUACAGGCGUGAGCCCCCACGCCUGAUGUUAUUUAAUUUUUAUUUUAAAGAACAAUCCCUAAGCAAUUCAUGGUGCUAAGUACGAAUAAGUAAAAAAUAAAGCACAUAACUUUCUUUUUCUGCAGGACUUCAUAAUUUAGUUGGGAUGACAAGAUUAAAAAUAAUAGUGAUAAACCCUAUGAUAGGAGGAAAAAAUGGAACUAAAGGAAGGAGUGUGGAGGAAUAAGGUCUCUAUUUUAAUUUAUGAGUUUUGCAGCCACUUUGUAGACAUGACACUUGAAUUUUAAAUAAGUUAAAAGGAAAAAACAUUGACAACUUCCAAACCUUUCUCUCUCACCCAACUUUAUUCAUAUGUAUUAUUUCUAUUAAUGAUUAUCAUAAGAGAAAUUAGGACUUCUAAAUUAGUAAAUAUUGGCAGGGUGCGGUGGCUCACAUCUGUGAUCCCAGCAUUUGGGGAGGCCGAAGUGGGUGGAUCACAAGGUCAAGAGAUCAAGACCAUCCUGGCCAACAUGGUGAAACCCCAUCUCUACUAAAAAUACAAAAAAAAAAAAAAAAAAAAAAAAAAUUAGCCAGGCGUGGUGGUGGGCGCCUGUAGUCCCAGCUACUCGGGAGGCUGAGGCCAGAGAAUCACUUGAACCCAGGAGGUGGAGGUUGCAGUGAGCCAAGGUCGCACCACUGCACUCCAGCCUGGAGACAGAGCAAGAUUCCACUUCAAAAAAAAAAUUAGUAAUAUGUUUACAAAUAAUAAAUUCAGUUCAUGCUAACAAAAUAGUAUUUUAAAAUAAAACAAGUCUCCAAACAGUUUGAAGAGUUGCAAUGUUCUUACAUUUUUGCAAAAUGUCUGGCUUAACUGAAGACAGCUUGAUACUCAUAUCUGCUUCUGAAUUCAAUCUGUUGCAAUAUGUUGUUUUGACUAAGUGUGUGAAGAAAAUAGUGCCCCACACAGACAUGAAAUUGUAGAAAGGAAGAAUAAUUUAAAAGAAUUUUUGGACGAGGUGUAGUGGCACACACCUGUAAUCCCAGCACUUUCAGAGGCUGAGGCGGGCGGAUCACUUGAGGUCAGGAGUUCGAGACCAGCCUGGCCAACAUGGUGAAACCCCGUCUCUACUAAAAAUACAAAAAUUAGCCAUCGUGGUGGUGAGUGCCUGUAAUCCCAGCUAUUUGGGAGGCGGAGGCAGGAGAAUCGCUUGAACCCAGGAGGUGGAGGUUGCAGUGAGCCAAGAUUGUGUCCAGCCUGGUGAUAGAGUGAAACUCCAUCUCAAAAAAAAAAAAAAAAAAAUUAAGUAUUUUUGGCCAACUAUUGUUCUUCUUCUUUGAUCUUCAAACAAAUGCUUUAUUCAGGUUAUUGCAAUGGGAGGCAUGACACCACAUCAUAUGCUUUUUCUGCUAUAUCACAUUAAAACCUAUAGGUCUAUUUUCAAUGUUAAUGGGUCUUUUACCAAUCAUGAUUUUUAUCAUAUUGGCAUGGCCAUUGGGAAAAUAUUGGUUCAUCGAAUAAUGCAGAUGUUCCAAAUAUUGAUACACUUUACUAUAAAAUAUUUUGAAAUUCAGUAAUAUUACCCUUGAUCUCCUCAGAAAAAUCCGUAAGUUUUGAAAAAAUUAUCGUGUUCAAGAAUGCAGAUACGUUUUCCAUAUUUCAAUUUUCACUUGAAAACUUUUUACAUUUUCAGUAACAGCUCAGUUAUUUUUCUUUAAGACAAUCUCACUUUUUUUGUUUUUUCAGACAAGGUCUUGCUCCGUUGCCCAGGCUGGAGUGCAGUGGUGCAAUCAUAGCUCACUGCAACCUCUGCCUCCCGGGGCCAAGUGAUCCUCCCGCCUCAGCCUCCCCGGUAGUAGACUGUGGGCAGCAAGCCACCCAGGUGCCGAGGCAAGAGACUGAGGGCAUGAGCUGUUCCAGUGUAAUAAAGAAAAUAUAUAGAAUAAGAAUACUUGUGCUAGAAAUAUAAUAUAGAUGAUGAUAUGUGAAUAUUAAUAAUCAUUAGUUUGUAGCAUUACUCUUUAUUCCAAUAUCAUAAUAAUCUCUGUUCUACAACUAUAACCUAGGAAAAACCAGGCCAUACAGAGAUAGGAGCUGAAGGGACACGGUGAGAAGCGACCAGGAGACAAGAGUGCGAGCCCUCUGUCACGCCUGGACAUGGCCACCAGAGGGCUCCCUGGUCUAGCGGUAACGCCAGCGCCUGGGAAGACGCCCGUUACUUAGCAGACCUUGGUCUAGCGGUAGCGCUAGUGCCUGGGAAGGCACCGGUUACUUAGCAGACCAGGAAAGGGAGUCUCCCUUUCCCCGGGGAGUUAGAGAAGACUCUGCUCCACCACCUCUUGUGGAAGUCGACAUCAGUCAAGCUCGCCUGCAGCCAUCCGGAGGCCUGUCUCCCUGUGAUGCUGUGCUUCAGCGGUCACGCUCCUGGUCUGCUUUCAUGUUCCGCCCUGUACACCGGGCUCGGCCUUCUAGAUAGCAGUAGCAGAAUUGGUGAAAGUACUAAAAGUCUUUGAAAUGCAUAGAAGAAAUAACGGCAUAAGCUGUCCUCUCUCUCUCUCCGCCUCGGCUGCCAAACAAGGAAGGGCCCCCGACUGGUGGACACGAGAUCCACGUGACCUUACCUGUCACUGGAGAUGACUCACACUCCUUAUCCUGCCCUCUUGCCUUUUAUCCAAUAAAUAACAGCGCAUCCAGGCAUUCAGGGCCACUACCAGUCUCCACGUCUUGGUGGUAGUGGUCCCCCGAGCCCAACUGUCUUUUCUUCUAUCUCUUUGUCUUGUGUCUUUAUUUCUACGAUCUCUCAUCUCUGCACAUGGGGAUGAAAACCCACAGACCCUGUAGGGCUCAUCCCUACAGUAGACUACAGGCUUACAUCAUCACCCCUGGCUAAUAUUUUUUGUAGAGAUGGGGUUUCACCAUGUUGCUCUAACUGGUCUCAAACUCUUGAGCUCCAAAAGUGCUGGGAUUACAGGCGUGAGCCACUGCACCCUGUCACACUUUGUUCAUUUUUAAGUAAUAAGUGCUCUAUGAGUUCUUACCAUUUUAUCAAAUAGAAUACUGAAAAGACAUACUUGGGGAUCUAGAUUUAAUGAAAAUUAUAUUUUUUACUGCUUCAUCAAGGAUAUUCUUAAGCAACAUGAAAAUAAAAUUGGCAUGUUUACUUAUUUAGGCAACGAUGUGACUGUAAAUAAUAGAACUGCUGCUAUUGUUUGGAGCCACUGUCUUGUUUUGUGCUACGGUUUUACUUACUACUGCAUUUGCACCAAAGCAGAGAAACAAAAACAAGCAAAAAGGACAAGUAACAUAUGGGUAUUAUGAUAGAAAGUCUUAUUUUCAUGGAGCACUCUGAGAUUCACUAUUCCAGGUAUAGUCCUCUCCCAGACCCAUCACACCUGUUCUGUCACAAAGUUUUAUUAAUUUCUACUUCUUAAGUAUUCUUCUACUUACUGCUUCCUCUCCACAACUUUAUGACUCAGUGAAACCCUCACUCUCUCUCACCUGAAAUAUUUCCAUUUUCCAUCAUGUUCCCAUCAGCCUGCACUCCUCGACACAGUGAAACCUUCACUCUCUCUCACCUGAAAUAUUUCCAUUUUCUAUCAUGUUCCCAUCAGCCUGCACUCCCCGACUCAGUGAAACCCUCCCUCUCUCUCAUCCGAAAUAUUUCCAUUUUCCAUGUUUCCUACAGCCUGCACUCGUCGGCUCAGUGAAAUCCUCACUCUCUCACCUGAAAUAUUUCCAUUUUCCAUCAUGUUUCCAUCAGCCUGUACUCCCCAACUCAGUGAAACCCUCCCUCUCUCUCACCUGAAAUAUUUCCAUUUUCCAUCAUGUUUCCAUCAGCCUGCUCUCCUCGACUCAGUGAAACCCUCCCUCUCUUUCAUCUGAAAUAUUUCCAUUUUCCAUCAUGUUUCCAUCAGCCUGAACUCCUCUUACUUCCCGUUAUCUUGUUCGCUUCCAGACAUAUCUCUAAACAGGUAACUGUGUUCCUCAAGGACUUAAAAGCAUUUAACAACAGCUUAAAACUUAGGUUCUCACUCUUUAGCAAGGACUUGAAGACUUUUAAUGAUUCAGCUCCUGCUCACAAAUCUAACCUCAUUUUUUCCCACAUCAACCUUGAACAGAAGCUAAGUUCCACUCAUAUACAAAGUCUUUCAAUUUUCCUGAAUAAAAAAGAUUAUGUAGCUGUCACCCAUAAUCUGACUCCAGAACUCUGUUUCUGCACCUUCCUGUCAAACUCAUUAUUAAAGUCUCCGUAUUAGUCUGUUCUCAUGCUGCUAAUAUGGACAUGACCAAGGCUGGGUAAUUUAUAAAGAAAAAUAAGUUUAAUGGACUCACAGUUCCACGUGGCUGGGGAGACCUCACAAUCAUGGCCGAAGGCAAAGGUCAGGUCUUACAUGGCAGCAGACAAGAGACAGCAUAUGCAGGGGAACUUCCCUCCAUACAACCAUCAGAUCUCAUGAGACUUAUUCACUAUCAUAAGAACAACACAGUCCUCAUGAUUCAAUUACCUCCCACCAGGUCCCUCCCACAAUAUGUGGGAAUUAUGGGAAUAACAAUUCGAGAUUUGGGUGAGGACACAGCCAAACCGUAUCAGUCUCAUAAUAAGGACCAAAGGCCAAGCCUUCCCUAAGUCGUCCUUAAGAGACUCAUGCAGAUUUCAUAAUUUACUCCCAGUUGGGCCUUUUCUCAAGACCUUGACAUUUUGAUCUGGACUCAGAUGACUUUGUGGCUCAUUAUGAAAUCCAUUUGUGUUCUUAAACUGGACUCAGUAAGAUAGCUACUCAUUCAUCAAUUUGUGUCAUUAUUUAUUAAUUCUUUGCGUAACUGGACUUCAAAAUAGGAUUUUAAAAAAGGUUUUGACCGUGUGCUCUUCACAAUGUAGAUCACUAGGCGUUUGUUAUGUGAUUCUUUCUUCCCUAUCAUUUGGGAGAAAAUAGGAUUGGGCUGUGUGCCCUGAGAGGGAGGGCACAUUUAGAUAUUUUAGGAGUUGUAAAUAGAAGACCAAAUGUCAGAGAGAGAGAGAGACUUUGCUUCACCUGUAGUUGAAAUGGUUAGUUAGGACAGGUGCAGUGGCUCAUGCCUGUAAUUCCAGCACUUUGGGAGGUUGAGGCAGGUGGAUCACUUGGGCUCAUGAGUUCAAGACAAGCCUGAGCAACAUGGUGAAACCCUGUCUACAAAAAGUAGAAAAACUAGUCAGGCAUGGUGAUGCAUGGUAUUAUGAGGUUGCACUUCACUGAAAAACCAAAGUUGUUUAGCACUUCCAUGUGAACCACACCAUCUCACAAGUAUGAGGUGUAGCAGAAGUCCAGUCCCAAGGACACAAAGAAGACACACCAUGUUAAUGGAAUGACAUACUGCAGUGUAUCUAGAUAAACGAUCCUGGGCCUUGAUGAGAGAGAUAGAUGCAGUCUUGAAGGAACUGAUUAUGCAGUGAUUCUGCAUUUAAGUAUUUGACCUAAUUUUAAUAACAAAAAUGUAUGCACCUUUCAUUUUCAAAGUACAGUUGUUCCUCAGUAUCCGUGGGAAAUCAGCUCCAGAAUACCCCCCCAGAUACCAAAAACCACUGAUGCUCAAGUCUUAUAUAAAAUGGUGUAUUUGCAUAUAACCCAUGCUUAUCCUUCCAUAUGCAGUCAUGUGCCUUAUAAUGCCCUUUUAAUCAAUAAUGAACCAUGUAUAUUACCAUGGUCCCCUAAGAUUAUAAACACAUAUAGAAACCUUCUUGUGGGAAGUCAGAGACCCUGAAUGGAGGGACUGGCUGGAACCAUGGCAGAAGAACAUAAAUUGUGAAGAUUUCAUGGACAUUUAUUAGUUCCCAAAAUUAAUACUUUUAUAAUUUCUUAUGCCUGUCUUACUUUAAUCUUCUAAUCCCGUCAUCUUUGUAAGCUGAGGAUGUAUAUUGCCUCAAGACCCCGUGAUGAUUGCGUUAACUGUACAAAUUGUUUGUAAAACAUGUUUGUUCAAACAAUAUCAAAUCUGAUUGUAAAACAUGAGUGUUUGAACAAUGUGAAAUCAGUGCACCCUGAAAAAGAACAGAAUAACAGCGAUUUUCAGGGAAUGAGGGAAGAUAACCAUAAGAUCUUACUGCCUGCAGGGUUGGGCAGAAUACAGCCAUAUUUUUAUUCUUGCAGAGAGCCUACAGAUGGACGUGUGAGUAAGAGAAUAUCACUGAAUUCUUUUCCCAGCAAGGAAUGCUAAUAAUUAAUACCCUGGGAAAGGAAUGCAUUCCUGGGGGUAGGUCUAUAGACAGCCGCUCUGGGAUCGUCUGUCUUAUGCAGUUGAAAUAAGGACUGAAAUACACCCUGGUCUCCUGCAGUACCCUCAGGCUUGUUAGGAUUGGGAAAUUCCAGCCUGGUGAAUUCUAGUCAGACUGGUUCUCUGCUCUUGAAACUUCUUUCCUGUUAAGAUGUUUAUCAAGACAAUGUGUGCACCGCAGGACACAGACCCUCAUCAGGGGUUCUAAUUUUGUCUUUGCCUUUUGAUCUUUAUGGCCUUUUGAAGCAUGUGAUCCUUGUGACCUACUCCCUGUUCGUACACCCCCUCCCCUUUCAAAAUCCCUAAUAAAAACUGGCUGGUUUUGCAGCUCAAGGUCGCCAUCAUGGUCCUACCAAAGUGAUGGCACCACCAGAAGGCCAGCUGUAAAAUUUCUCUCUUUGUACUCUUUAUUCCUCAGACCAGCCAACACUUAGGGAAACUAGAAAGAACCUACGUUGAAAUGGUGGGGGCUGGUUCCCCCAUAAAACCUGACAUGUGGGACUUGAUACUAUCACUGCAGAUCAAGUAGAGAAAGUGACUGAUAUUCAGUGAUGGUGCUAGAACAUAUGGUUUCUCAUAUGAAAAAAUAUAAAUAUAUAUACCAUCUAGGGUUAUGUAAGAACAUUUUAUGAUGUUCACAAAAUAAAAAUAUUGCUUAGUAAUGCAUGUCUCAGAACAUACACAUGUCAUUAAGCCAUGCAUGACUGUACUUUAUAUCACCUCUGGAACACUUCGGUCAAUCAAGAAAAAUGACCGAGAAAAAUCUCAAUCAUUUUAGGAGGUUUAUUUGCCAACAUUAAGGACACACACCCAGGAGACAGUCUAUGCCUUUCUUCAAAAAUGAUUUUGAGGGCUCCAAAUUUAAAGGGGAAAGGGUGAAAUAUUGAGAAAUACAGUUUUCAUGUAAGACUGAGGUAGGGGGAAAACAUUCAUUGAUACGGUUUGGCUCUGUGUCCCCACCCAAAUCUCACCAUAAAUUGUAAUAAUCCCCAUAUUCAAGGGUGGGACCAGGUGGAAGUAACUGGAUCAUGGGGGCAGUUUCCUCUAGGCUGUUCUCAUGAUAGUGAGUCACAUGAGAUCUGAUGGUUUUAUAAGUGUCUGGCAUUUCCCCUGCUUGCACUCAUUGCCUCUCCUGCCACCCUGUGAAGAGGUGCUCUCUGCGAUUAUUGUAAGUUUCCUGAGGCCUCCCCAGCCGUGCAGAGUUGUGAAUCAAUUAAACCUCUUUCCUUCAUAAAUGACCCAGUCUUGAGUAUUUCUUCAGAGCAGUAUGAGAACAGACUGAUACAGUCAUUCAUGCCUUUGGCUCAGUGAAUCUGCAUUUGUACAUAACAUAGACAAACAGGGAGGAGAACAAUCAGAUAUGCAUUUGUCUCAGGUGGGCAGAGGGGUGACUCUGAGUUCUGUCCUAUGCACUGUAAAGAUGAGCUAUCAGACCAGGCGUGGCAGCUCACAUCUGUAAUCCCAGCACUCUAAGAAGCUGAGGUGGGUGGAUCACCUGAUGUCAGGAGUUCGAGACCAGCCUGACCAACAUGGAGAAACCCCGUCUCUACUAAAAAUACAAAAUUAGCCAAGUGUGGUGGUGCAUGCCUGUAAUCCCAAAUACUCAGGAGGCUGAGGCAGGAGAAUCACUUGAAACCAGGAGGCAGAGGUUGCAGUGAGCCGAGAUCGUGCCAUUGCACUCCAGCCUGGGUGACAAUAGCGAAACUCCAUCUAGGAAAAAAAAAAAAAAAGGAUAAGCUAUCAAUUUACAUUGCCAUAAUUAAUUUUAACGAAAUACUUUAAAGAUCUUAAAGCACACCAGAAAUUUCCUUGUGGGAAAAAUAUGAGGGAGGGGGAUACAAGAUAAAAAGCUUUUUAUCUUGGAGCCAUCUUAUUUAGGAACCAAAAGAAGGAGGCAGGUUUGCAUGACCGAGUUCCCAGCUUGACUUUUCCCUUUAGCUUAAUGAGUUUGGAGUCCCAAGAUUUAUUUUCCUUUCACAUUUAGAAGACCAAAUACAAUAUGGAUGUAAACAGUGGUGUUGUUUAGGAAAGAAUGACAAGAAAAAGUCUGAAUAUGUUCACUACAGAUGCAAGCGUCUGAUUUUAUUUCAAAUAUUUUGCAUCCAAGUUUAUUUACGUACACAGAUAUUAAACCUACAGAUACAAAAAGCUGAGUGUACUUACAUAUUAAUAGCUGUACACAGGCAGCAUAAAAUUCUGUUUGUACAUGCCAGAAACAUUCUGUGUCCACCCAGGGUGAACACAGCCACUUCACAAACAGGGUGUAAAUACGGAGGUUCACUAAGUACAGGAAAGUUACAUGACCAUAUUGGCAUUUUAACAGCCAUUCCUGAGAAAGAGAAUGGGAAAGGGCUUAAGAGUCAGAGGAGUGGAAAAGAGGAAGACAGAUGACCUCCUACAUCAGAAGAUGGAGCAGUGAGAAUACAGAAUAGGGAAGCAAUAGUUAAAAGGAAAAAAAGUAGAAGCAGGAUUUGAUGUCAAUUUGCUGUGCAGAGGGUAAAAAGGGGAGUUUUAUUUCCAGGCUAUCUGCCAUGAUCACAGCUAGUUUGUUACUGGUGAUGUGAAAUUUGGAAAAAUAAAAGAACAAUAUGAUGGCCAGAAGUGAUACAGACUUGGACACAGCAUGUUUGAAAUAUCUGAGGUCCCAUAUGUAGGGAUGUCCAACUGGCAAUUGGGAAUACAGUUCCAGAGUUCACAAGGGAGAUCAAAGCUGGAGAUAAAGAUUUUGAAACUAUCAGAAUUUCAAUGGUACCUGAAUCCAUCAGACCAAAUGAACCUAAGAGAAUGAAAGGAUAAAAAGGAACAAGUACAGAAUCCACAGAAACACUAAUAUUUACAGAAAGGAAUAGACUGUUAAGACCAAGAAGGAACAUUCUGAGUUUAUUUCACAUAUUAAGAAAAGCUCAAUAUUAGAAAGUCUACUAAUACAAUUCAUCACAUUCAGAGUCCUGAGGAGAAAAAUCUUUAAUUGUCCACAUAGGCAUUAAGAAGAUAAGUCUUAGAUUCCAGGUUCUGAUUUCUGCAUGUAAGAAGCUUAGAAGUGGCCAGGUGCAGUGGCUCAUGCCUGUAAUCCCAACACUUUCGGAGACUGAGGUGGGCAGAUCACCUGAAGUCAGAAGUUCAAGACCACCCUGGCCAAUAUGGCAAAACCCCAUCUCUACUAAAAAUACAAAAAUUAGGCUGGGUGCGGAGGCUCACACCUGUAACUCCAGCACUUUGGGAGCUUCAGGUGGGUGGAUCACCUGAAGUCAGGAGUUUGAGACCAACCUGGCCCACAUGGCAAAACCCCAUCUCUACUAAAAAUACAAAUAUUACCGAAGUGUGGUGGUGUGUGCCAGUAGUACUAGCUACUUGGGAGGCAGAAGCAGAAGAAUUGCUUCAACCUCGGAGGUGGAGGUUGCAGUGAGCCAAGAUCAUGCCACUGCACUACAGCCUGGAUGACAGAGUGAGCUGCUUCAAAAAAUUAAAAAAUAAAAUAAUAAUAAUACAAAAAUUAGCCAGCAUGGUGGUGGGUGCCUGUAAUCCCAGCUACUCAGGAGGCUGAGGCAGGGAGAAUCAUUUGAACCUGGGAGCCAGAUGUUGCAGUGAGCUGAGAUUGCACCACUGCACUCCAGCCUGAGCAACAAAGUGAGACUCCAUCUCAAAAAAAGGAAAAAAAAAAAAAAAAAGAA